UACAGAGGGGGCAAGCGUUGUUCGGAAUUACUGGGCGUAAAGGGCGCGUAGGCGGCCUGCUAAGUCGAACGUGAAAUCCCCGGGCUCAACCCGGGAACUGCGUCCGAUACUGGUUGGCUUGAAUCCGGGAGAGGGAUGCAGAAUUCCAGGUGUAGCGGUGAAAUGCGUAGAUAUCUGGAGGAAUACCGGUGGCGAAGGCGGCAUCCUGGACCGGCAUUGACGCUGAGGAGCGAAAGCCAGGGGAGCAAACGGG
This 253-nucleotide ribosomal RNA is filed under the name uncultured bacterium. RNAcentral describes it as "partial 16S ribosomal RNA". It matches the Rfam family "Bacterial small subunit ribosomal RNA", at positions 524 to 776 of the family's 1533-position model. The record is from RNAcentral.